AGUGAACGCUGGCGGUAGGCCUAACACAUGCAAGUCGAACGGCAGCACAGUAAGAGCUUGCUCUUACGGGUGGCGAGUGGCGGACGGGUGAGGAAUACAUCGGAAUCUACUUUUUCGUGGGGGAUAACGUAGGGAAACUUACGCUAAUACCGCAUACGACCUACGGGUGAAAGCAGGGGAUCUUCGGACCUUGCGCGUUUGAAUGAGCCGAUGUCGGAUUAGCUAGUUGGCGGGGUAAAGGCCCACCAAGGCGACGAUCCGUAGCUGAUCUGAGAGGAUGAUCAGCCACACUGGAACUGAGACACGGUCCAGACUCCUACGGGAGGCAGCAGUGGGGAAUAUUGGACAAUGGGCGCAAGCCUGAUCCAGCCAUACCGCGUGGGUGAAGAAGGCCUUCGGGUUGUAAAGCCCUUUUGUUGGGAAAGAAAAGCAGCAGGUUAAUACCCCGCUGUUCUGACGGUACCCAAAGAAUAAGCACCGGCUAACUUCGUG
This 492-nucleotide ribosomal RNA is filed under the name uncultured bacterium. RNAcentral's name for it is "partial 16S ribosomal RNA". It matches the Rfam family "Bacterial small subunit ribosomal RNA", at positions 29 to 507 of the family's 1533-position model. The record is from RNAcentral.